Molecule: long non-coding RNA, 94 nt
Organism: Gopherus evgoodei (Goodes thornscrub tortoise)
Lineage: Eukaryota; Metazoa; Chordata; Testudines; Testudinidae
Exons: 3
Source: RefSeq, a predicted model, not a curated record
GUACAUUGGGCAAGAAAAUAAGAAUAGCCAUAGUGGCUCAGACCAAUAGUCCAUCUAGCCCAGUAUCCUGUCUUCUGACAGUGCCCAGGACCAG